GGCGUAUUCAUUUGGAUUUUUUUUUCAAGACAGGCAAAUAAAAGAUGUUUGAAAUCUCUAGUUAUCCCGUUUAACACACCCAUCGAUGGCGCUUUUCUAGUUAAGCUACGGGGGAAACGUCUUUAUCCCACAGUUAGGCUGCGAACUUGUGCCGAUGCUCAGGCUUUGUGGAGACGCUCCGGCAUCUGGCGCAGAGGCGCCCGGCGGGGAAAAGUUUGCAGCCCGGGCUUUGGGGCGCGCGGGGGGCAGGAAUUUUUCUGAGAAAAGAGGGGCAUAGAGAGGCGGCGAGGGUGGGGAGAGAAAAAAGGAACGCAGCGGGGAGGGGGAAAAGCAGCUUGCAGGAUGGGAGUUUCUUGCAGAAUUUACAGGACUAAGGAGUUUGGGGAAGUCGCAGAGCCGCAGCGGAAAGGCAGGGGUCUGAGACUACUUUUGAGAAGAGAAACAACGCAAAACGAUCGCUGGAGGGCCAGAGCCCUGAUCGAAGAAGCAGACACAGGUUCCCACGGCGUCUGACGCCUGCGGAGCAAGUCCAGAGCCAGCUGGACUCGCAGCCUCUGGCCCGGCGGCACCAACUCCAUACUGGGUCAUUUUGAGCGCGCUGUGCCCACCUUUUCUGUUGCGUGUGGACGUGGGGAGGAUCUUCUAAGUCCCUCCAACGAAGGCAAGUGUGAGACUCUGGCCCUUUAUUUGUAAGAAGCAAGCCUUCAGAUUGCAGAAGUGUCGCGCGGGUCGCCAUGCGUUGCGCGAGUGGGAAGAUGGAGGAGGCCGGCACGCUGCUUUCGUGGACGCAAGUGAACCGGCCGUGAAGGCAGGGUGCGAGCUCUGCCCUUGGCCCAGCCCUGCGUGGGCGCCGUCCCAGAUUCCGGGCGGUGCGGGGUGCAGAGAUCUGGAGAGAGUUGCGGGGUGCAGAGAUCUGGAGAGACUUGCGGGCUCCCCAGCGCAGGCUGCUCUGGGAUUUCGUUGGAAGAUCCGGCAGAGCCUUGGAGGAGAGGGCCCGGGAGGCUGUGUGUGCAGCGGAAACUUGUACGAAUGCCCCCACAGCGGAAAUGGUGCGCACGAGUAAUUUCUGCGGUGCACCCUUUUAAAAAUUGACAAGUGAACAAGAUCAAUUUUUUAAGAAAGCAAAGGUAGAAAACAAAAGGCGUGCGACUUCUUGACUGGCUUGUUCCCGCCUUUCUUCCUUCUCUAUACUCAGAUCAGAAACUUUAAUUGCUCUUAUUCAGUGCGACAACUUUUAAUAAAAGCAUUUGCAUUUUAAGCCUGAGUUGCAACCAUAGAUUUGUUGCGAAGUGACAACGUGUCUAUGGAAUAUUUUCGCAGAUGAGACAGGACAUGCGCUCUAGUCGUGCCCAGAUUAAAGGGACGCUGGUCCAUGUGCCUGUGUAGUGCAGACUCGGAGGGGCACACACAUACUCGUCAUCACAUGACCACUGUCUAUUAAUAUUGUCAUACCUAAACACUCGCAAAAACAAAAGUUGCUUUUC
RNAcentral lists this long non-coding RNA (1484 nucleotides) under Pan troglodytes (chimpanzee). RNAcentral's name for it is "long non-coding RNA NONPTRT007853". The record is from RNAcentral. Lineage: Eukaryota; Metazoa; Chordata; Mammalia; Primates; Hominidae.